RNAcentral lists this ribosomal RNA (2907 nucleotides) under Pectobacterium brasiliense. RNAcentral describes it as "23S ribosomal RNA". It matches the Rfam family "Bacterial large subunit ribosomal RNA". Lineage: Bacteria; Pseudomonadati; Pseudomonadota; Gammaproteobacteria; Enterobacterales; Pectobacteriaceae. The record is from RNAcentral.
GGUUAAGCGACUAAGCGUACACGGUGGAUGCCUAGGCAGUCAGAGGCGAUGAAGGGCGUGCUAAUCUGCGAUAAGCGUCGGUAAGCUGAUAUGAAGCGUUAUACCCGACGAUACCCGAAUGGGGAAACCCAGUGUGUUUCGACACACUAUCAUGACAUGAAUACAUAGUGUCAUGAGGCGAACCGGGGGAACUGAAACAUCUCAGUACCCCGAGGAAAAGAAAUCAACCGAGAUUCCCCCAGUAGCGGCGAGCGAACGGGGAGGAGCCCAGAACCUGAAUCAGUUUGUGUGUUAGUGGAAGCGUCUGGAAAGUCGCACAGUAAAGGGUGAUAGUCCCGUACACAAAAAUGCACAAGUUGUGAGUUCGAUGAGUAGGGCGGGACACGUGACAUCCUGUCUGAAUAUGGGGGGACCAUCCUCCAAGGCUAAAUACUCCUGACUGACCGAUAGUGAACCAGUACCGUGAGGGAAAGGCGAAAAGAACCCCGGCGAGGGGAGUGAAAUAGAACCUGAAACCGUGUACGUACAAGCAGUGGGAGCCUACUUGUUAGGUGACUGCGUACCUUUUGUAUAAUGGGUCAGCGACUUAUAUUCUGUAGCAAGGUUAACCGUAUAGGGGAGCCGCAGGGAAACCGAGUCUUAACUGGGCGUUAAGUUGCAGGGUAUAGACCCGAAACCCGGUGAUCUAGCCAUGGGCAGGUUGAAGGUUGGGUAACACUAACUGGAGGACCGAACCGACUAAUGUUGAAAAAUUAGCGGAUGACUUGUGGCUGGGGGUGAAAGGCCAAUCAAACCGGGAGAUAGCUGGUUCUCCCCGAAAGCUAUUUAGGUAGCGCCUCGUGAAUUCAUCUUCGGGGGUAGAGCACUGUUUCGGCUAGGGGGUCAUCCCGACUUACCAACCCGAUGCAAACUACGAAUACCGAAGAAUGUUAUCACGGGAGACACACGGCGGGUGCUAACGUUCGUCGUGAAGAGGGAAACAACCCAGACCGCCAGCUAAGGUCCCAAAGUCAUGGUUAAGUGGGAAACGAUGUGGGAAGGCAUAGACAGCCAGGAUGUUGGCUUAGAAGCAGCCAUCAUUUAAAGAAAGCGUAAUAGCUCACUGGUCGAGUCGGCCUGCGCGGAAGAUGUAACGGGGCUAAACCAUGCACCGAAGCUGCGGCAGCGACACUUAAGUGUUGUUGGGUAGGGGAGCGUUCUGUAAGCCUGCGAAGGUGGCCUGUGAGGGCUGCUGGAGGUAUCAGAAGUGCGAAUGCUGACAUAAGUAACGAUAAUGCGGGUGAAAAACCCGCACGCCGGAAGACCAAGGGUUCCUGUCCAACGUUAAUCGGGGCAGGGUGAGUCGACCCCUAAGGCGAGGCUGAAAAGCGUAGUCGAUGGGAAACAGGUUAAUAUUCCUGUACUCGGUGUUACUGCGAAGGGGGGACGGAGAAAGCUAGGUUAUCCGGGCGACGGUUGUCCCGGUUUAAGCGUGAAGGUGGAUGACUUUGGUAAAUCCGGGUCAUCAUUAACACUGAGGCGUGAUGACGAGUCACUACGGUGAUGAAGUAACCGAUGCUACGCUUCCAGGAAAAGCCUCUAAGCUCCAGGUAACAUCAAAUCGUACCCCAAACCGACACAGGUGGUCAGGUAGAGAAUACUCAGGCGCUUGAGAGAACUCGGGUGAAGGAACUAGGCAAAAUGGUGCCGUAACUUCGGGAGAAGGCACGCUGAUGGUAGGUGAAGUGACUUGCUCAUGGAGCUGAAAUCAGUCGAAGAUACCAGCUGGCUGCAACUGUUUAAUAAAAACACAGCACUGUGCAAACACGAAAGUGGACGUAUACGGUGUGACGCCUGCCCGGUGCCGGAAGGUUAAUUGAUGGGGUCAGCCGCAAGGCGAAGCUCUUGAUCGAAGCCCCGGUAAACGGCGGCCGUAACUAUAACGGUCCUAAGGUAGCGAAAUUCCUUGUCGGGUAAGUUCCGACCUGCACGAAUGGCGUAAUGAUGGCCAGGCUGUCUCCACCCGAGACUCAGUGAAAUUGAACUCGCUGUGAAGAUGCAGUGUACCCGCGGCAAGACGGAAAGACCCCGUGAACCUUUACUAUAGCUUGACACUGAACCUUGAGCCUUGAUGUGUAGGAUAGGUGGGAGGCUUUGAAGUGUGGACGCCAGUCUGCAUGGAGCCAACCUUGAAAUACCACCCUUUAAUGUUUGAUGUUCUAACGUGGACCCGUGAUCCGGGUUGCGGACAGUGUCUGGUGGGUAGUUUGACUGGGGCGGUCUCCUCCCAAAGCGUAACGGAGGAGCACGAAGGUUAGCUAAUCCUGGUCGGACAUCAGGAGGUUAGUGCAAAGGCAUAAGCUAGCUUGACUGCGAGAGUGACAGCUCGAGCAGGUGCGAAAGCAGGUCUUAGUGAUCCGGUGGUUCUGAAUGGAAGGGCCAUCGCUCAACGGAUAAAAGGUACUCCGGGGAUAACAGGCUGAUACCGCCCAAGAGUUCAUAUCGACGGCGGUGUUUGGCACCUCGAUGUCGGCUCAUCACAUCCUGGGGCUGAAGUAGGUCCCAAGGGUAUGGCUGUUCGCCAUUUAAAGUGGUACGCGAGCUGGGUUUAGAACGUCGUGAGACAGUUCGGUCCCUAUCUGCCGUGGGCGUUGGAAGAUUGAGAGGGGUUGCUCCUAGUACGAGAGGACCGGAGUGAACGCACCACUGGUGUACGGGUUGUGAUGCCAAUUGCAUUGCCCGGUAGCUAAGUGCGGAAGAGAUAACCGCUGAAAGCAUCUAAGCGGGAAACUUGCCUCGAGAUGAGUCUUCCCUGGGCACUUGAUGCCCCUGAAGGGCCGUUGAAGACGACGACGUAGAUAGGCUGGGUGUGUAAGCGUAGCGAUACGUUGAGCUAACCAGUACUAAUGACCCGAGAGGCUUAACCUU